Molecule: ribosomal RNA, 401 nt
Filed under: uncultured bacterium
Lineage: Bacteria
Description: bacterial SSU rRNA
Rfam family: Bacterial small subunit ribosomal RNA
Source: RNAcentral
UGGGGAAUAUUGGACAAUGGGCGCAAGCCUGAUCCAGCCAUGCCGCGUGAGUGAUGAAGGCCCUAGGGUUGUAAAGCUCUUUCACCGGAGAAGAUAAUGACGGUAUCCGGAGAAGAAGCCCCGGCUAACUUCGUGCCAGCAGCCGCGGUAAUACGAAGGGGGCUAGCGUUGUUCGGAAUUACUGGGCGUAAAGCGCACGUAGGCGGACAUUUAAGUCAGGGGUGAAAUCCCAGAGCUCAACUCUGGAACUGCCUUUGAUACUGGGUGUCUUGAGUAUGGAAGAGGUGAGUGGAAUUCCGAGUGUAGAGGUGAAAUUCGUAGAUAUUCGGAAGAACACCAGUGGCGAAGGCGACAUACUGGCUCAUUACUGACGCUGAGGCGCGAAAGCGUGGGGAGCAAAC